RNAcentral lists this ribosomal RNA (406 nucleotides) under uncultured bacterium. RNAcentral's name for it is "partial 16S ribosomal RNA". It matches the Rfam family "Bacterial small subunit ribosomal RNA", at positions 30 to 526 of the family's 1533-position model. The record is from RNAcentral.
AUUGAACGCUGGCGGCAGGCCUAACACAUGCAAGUCGAACGAGUGGCGGACGGGUGAGUAAUGUCUGGGAAACUGCAUGAUGGAGGGGGAUAAAUAAUGGAAAAGGUAGCUAAUACCGCAUAACCACAGAUGUGCCCAGAUUGGAUGAGCUUGUUGGUGGGGUAACGGCUCACCAAGGCGACGAUCCCUAGCUGGUCUGAGAGGAUGACCCGCCACACUGGAACUGAGACACGGCCCAGACUCCUACGGGAGGCAGCAGUUGGGAAUAUUGCCCAAUGGGCGCAAGCCUGAUGCAGCCAUGCCGCGUGUAUGAAGAAGGCCUUCGGGUUGUAAAGUACUUUCAGCGGGGAGGCGUUACCCGCAGAAGAAGCACCGGCUAACUCCGUGCCAGCAGCCGCGGUAAUUC